This 497-nucleotide ribosomal RNA is filed under the name uncultured bacterium. RNAcentral's name for it is "partial 16S ribosomal RNA". It matches the Rfam family "Bacterial small subunit ribosomal RNA", at positions 28 to 507 of the family's 1533-position model. The record is from RNAcentral.
GAUGAACGCUGGCGGCGUGCCUAAUACAUGCAAGUCGAGCGAACAGACGAGGAUCUUGCUCCUCUGACGUUAGCGGCGGACGGGUGAGUAACACGUGGAUAACCUACCUAUAAGACUGGGAUAACUUCGGGAAACCGGAGCUAAUACCGGAUAAUAUAUUGAACCGCAUGGUUCAAUAGUGAAAGACGGUUUUGCUGUCACUUAUAGAUGGAUCCGCGCCGCAUUAGCUAGUUGGUAAGGUAACGGCUUCCCAAGGCAACGAUGCGUAGCCGACCUGAGAGGGUGAGCGGCCACACUGGAACUGAGACACGGUCCAGACCCCUACGGGAGGCAGCAGUAGGGAAUCUUCCGCAAUGGGCGAAAGCCUGACGGAGCAACGCCGCGUGAGUGAUGAAGGUCUUCGGAUCGUAAAACUCUGUUAUUAGGGAAGAACAAAUGUGUAAGUAACUAUGCACGUCUUGACGGUACCUAAUCAGAAAGCCACGGCUAACUACGUG